This 505-nucleotide ribosomal RNA is filed under the name uncultured bacterium. RNAcentral's name for it is "partial 16S ribosomal RNA". It matches the Rfam family "Bacterial small subunit ribosomal RNA", at positions 28 to 507 of the family's 1533-position model. The record is from RNAcentral.
GACGAACGCUGGCGGCGUGCCUAAUACAUGCAAGUAGAACGCACAGUUUAUACCGUAGCUUGCUACACCAUAGACUGUGAGUUGCGAACGGGUGAGUAACGCGUAGGUAACCUGCCUGGUAGCGGGGGAUAACUAUUGGAAACGAUAGCUAAUACCGCAUAAUAUUAAUUAUUGCAUGAUAAUUGAUUGAAAGAUGCAACUGCAUCACUACCAGAUGGACCUGCGUUGUAUUAGCUAGUAGGUGAGGUAACGGCUCACCUAGGCGACGAUACAUAGCCGACCUGGGAGGGGGAUCGGCCCCACUGGGACUGAGACACGGCCCAGACUCCUACGGGAGGCAGCAGUAGGGAAUCUUCGGCAAUGGACGAAAGUCUGACCGAGCAACGCCGCGUGAGUGAAGAAGGUUUUCGGAUCGUAAAGCUCUGUUGUAAGAGAAGAACGGGUGUGAGAGUGGAAAGUUCACACUGUGACGGUAUCUUACCAGAAAGGGACGGCUAACUACGUG